GUGGGAGGGGGCUUGCCCCCGAUGGCGGAGUGUCAGCCGAUUCAUCAAUGGCUGACCCGGCGCAAUCGGGGGCAAGCCCCCUCCCAC
This 87-nucleotide unclassified non-coding RNA is filed under the name Pseudomonas orientalis. The record is from RNAcentral. Lineage: Bacteria; Pseudomonadati; Pseudomonadota; Gammaproteobacteria; Pseudomonadales; Pseudomonadaceae.